GUAUGUGAAGGUGAUCUGACUGUGACAUCUGUCACCCCAUUGAUUGCCAGGGUUGAUUCAGCUCGCUUGAACCCUUCCUCCCUCACUGCUUCAUGUGUGGACCUCCUGAAGUUGCACACCAAAGAGGCUGACCUUCUCUGUUGAGGAAGACCAUUCUUUGGUUGAAGAAUAUGAAUAGCCACUAGGACUUACAAUAAACAAGCUCUCAGAAGUAAGACUGUUCUUUUUCUCU
Molecule: small nuclear RNA, 232 nt
Filed under: Jaculus jaculus (lesser Egyptian jerboa)
Lineage: Eukaryota; Metazoa; Chordata; Mammalia; Rodentia; Dipodidae
Description: 7SK RNA (ENSJJAG00000005643.1)
Rfam family: 7SK RNA
About the family: 7SK was discovered as an abundant small nuclear RNA in the mid-70s but a possible function has only recently been suggested. Two independent studies have found that 7SK RNA binds the CDK9/cyclin T complex (known as elongation factor P-TEFb). P-TEFb activates transcription by phosphorylating the C-terminal domain of RNA polymerase II.
Source: Rfam by way of RNAcentral